RNAcentral lists this ribosomal RNA (397 nucleotides) under uncultured bacterium. RNAcentral describes it as "partial 16S ribosomal RNA". It matches the Rfam family "Bacterial small subunit ribosomal RNA", at positions 523 to 918 of the family's 1533-position model. The record is from RNAcentral.
AUACGUAGGUGGCAAGCGUUGUCCGGAAUUAUUGGGCGUAAAGCGCGCGCAGGUGGUUCCUUAAGUCUGAUGUGAAAGCCCCCGGCUCAACCGGGGAGGGUCAUUGGAAACUGGGGAACUUGAGUGCAGAAGAGAAUAGUGGAAUUCCAAGUGUAGCGGUGAAAUGCGUAGAGAUUUGGGGGAACACCAGUGGCGAAGGCGACGGUCUGGGCUGUAACGGACACUGAGGCGCGAAAGCGUGGGGAGCAAACAGGAUUAGAGGCCCUGGUAGUCCACGCCGUAAACGAUGAGUGCUAAGUGUUGGGGGGUUUCCGCCCCUCAGUGCUGCAGCUAACGCAUUAAGCACUCCGCCUGGGGAGUACGGUCGCAAGACUGAAACUCAAAGGAAUUGACGGGG